RNAcentral lists this signal recognition particle RNA (273 nucleotides) under Candidatus Aenigmatarchaeota archaeon. RNAcentral describes it as "signal recognition particle sRNA". It matches the Rfam family "Archaeal signal recognition particle RNA". Lineage: Archaea; Nanobdellati; Candidatus Aenigmatarchaeota. The record is from RNAcentral.
GAUGGGACUAGGCCGGGUGGGUUGGCGUCACCUGUGAUCCCAAACCGUCAUCACGGGGAGGCUGAAGCCCCUGGGCGACUGCACGUCGCGGGACAGGCCCACGCAUCCGACAGAGAAGCUUUGUCCCACAGGAUCGGCAGUGCGACGAACCGGGUCAGGCGGGGAACCGAGCAGCCCUCAGUUGUAGUGACGGUGCUUGUGGGGUCGCAAAGUGGAGGAGGAUGCGCGGUUCACCUCGUUCCGAGGCGACAGGCCACCGGGGGCGGUCCCUUU